CACCAUGCUGAACUUGCUGAACCCUGUUGAUUCUGGUGACUACUCAUUAAAGCAAACGAAGCGCUGGCCUCAGAUUUGCUUUUUACUGGAGUCAUGAAGUCCCUCCCAGAACUUUGGAACGGAGUCCUUGGGUCUGAUUUUAUUUCAGGGGAAAGAGGGUAAUCAGGAAUUCCAGACUCGGGAGAGAAAUCUGAGCGGUCCUCCAAGGUAUACAUGGGAGGGGGUGGAAGAUCUGAACCACCAAAAUUUUCACGCCAUAAAGCAGAUACUGCUGCUGCCUGACCUGGCGUUGAGAAUUUCCCUUUAUGGGUAGAGACAGGGGAAGCCAAAUCUUGGAAAAACAAUGACCGAUUCCCAGAGGAUUUGGGAGUUCUAUGCACUGUAGUACUCAUCUUAUAAUGUCUUCAAAAGAGAAGCUGUGAAUUGUGAUUUGGGCUUUUAUGGCUUUCCGUCCCAAUCACCAGAGCACUAGAUGGGAUCCCUCCGCUAAAAUGGAGCCGAAAAUCAAAAAUUUG
This 515-nucleotide unclassified non-coding RNA is filed under the name Hevea brasiliensis (rubber tree). Lineage: Eukaryota; Viridiplantae; Streptophyta; Magnoliopsida; Malpighiales; Euphorbiaceae. The record is from RNAcentral.